AGAAAGAAGAGCAGGUGCGUGGAAGUGGGUGGAAUUGCCGCAGAUGGUCCAGCGGGCUAUUGCAAGGAUUCUGGAAGCUGCGGGAAUUAUUUGAGGACACUUGAAGCACACCUACUACAUUCUUCUGCUGGCGUUAUUCCAGUUUAAAGAAAGCUUGGGGUCUUGCUGUGUUGACCAAGUUGGAGUGCAGUGGCAUGAUCUCAGCUCAUUGCAACCUCUGCCUCCUGAGUUCAAGCAUUCUCCUCUCUCAGCCUCCCAAGUAGCUGGGACUACAGGCAUGUACCACCACACCUGGGUAAUUUUUGUAAUUUUUUAGUAGAAAUGGGGUUUCACCAUGUUGACCAGGCUGGCCUUGAACUCUUGACCUCAAGUGAUCCACCCACUUCGGCCUCCCGAAGUGCUGGGAUUACAGGCGUGAGCCACCACAUCUAGCUGACAAUUCUUUUAUAAUAUUUAAUUAUAUAGAAUAAAGGGAGAGAAAUAGUGAGGGGGGAUAUGGAAAUGAGUUUUACUUUUCCUCCCAAAGUGGAAGAAAAUAACAACAAUCUGUGAACAUGUUUAAAUGCUG
Molecule: long non-coding RNA, 568 nt
Organism: Homo sapiens (human)
Lineage: Eukaryota; Metazoa; Chordata; Mammalia; Primates; Hominidae
Gene: TMEM184C-DT
Product: TMEM184C divergent transcript
Source: Ensembl